This is a long non-coding RNA of Tachysurus fulvidraco (yellow catfish), 4086 nucleotides long. RefSeq lists it as uncharacterized. The record is from RefSeq and is a predicted model, not a curated record. Lineage: Eukaryota; Metazoa; Chordata; Actinopteri; Siluriformes; Bagridae. The transcript is spliced from 4 exons.
AGUUGAGAAACUGUGUGUAUACACUAAAGUUUGGCUUAAGUGCACUGUGAAGACAUGUGCUGGUUACUAUCUAGUUUGUUAUUUUUUCUGUGAUUGGAUGUUUAUUAUUUUAUACCCACCCAUGCAUAUGAGAGUGCAAUGUGUUUGGUUGGUAAUGUGUCAAUCAAAAAAAGAGAGAGAUUGAGACGAGUCGCGUUCGAGAGAGUGGCGGAAGCAGAAACGCUCGUGCAAAACGCUCGUGCUAAAUGCGUGUUAUAUGGAUUUGUUUUCUUUAUAAACAGUGUUUUAGUUUGUUUAUGCUUUAAUGUUAACCAGGAGAUGUGUUAACGGACCGUGAUUUCGUCUUAUUAACUGUCGGUGAGACCCUUUUUUUUUUUUGAGAAGAAACUGCCCGGGUGUGUGGAAUUGGAGUGCCUCUACAUAACGUUACUGGAACGAUAUACUGCAUUCAGCGUAUUACUGUGGUAUUGCGCUAUUUAAUACUUUGAGUUGGACACUUCGGGAGAUCAGUUUGAGUUACAGUAGCAAAAAGCACUCGGUGGCAAAGACGUGCGUUCAUCAAGACUGUUUGUUUUGCCUUGGUUCGCGAGAAACGUACCACUAUUCGCCGAGGAUCGUGUGUGAUGUCUCCGCUUAGAGUGUGAGUGGUCACUGGGAGCACAGGUACCUGUUAUUUCUGUUGGUUUUGGCUCAUUUGAGUGAAGAGGCCGGUGUAAUCGUUUCAAAGGCCACAACGCACGCAAGCAACGACACAGGCCUGCAUCGGGGGGUGGUUGGUUCAGUUACUGAGCCUGACUGUCUGUGGAAGAAGCUGGUACAGAGUUUGGCAGAUGUUCUCAUUUCUUCUUCCAGUCUGGGGAGGUGAUGUUCACAAAACUGUGGCCCUCAAGGACGAGGCACAAAAAAAAUAGAUGUCAACUUUAAAAACAAUCCAUACAAACAGCAGCAACAAAAUACAGGCAACUUUAAAUGGAAUCUAGCAAAGGAGAGAAUUAACCUUCUGGACCACUAUAAUUAACCAUUGAAGGGAAAUUAUGGAUGAUCUUCAAAAACAAAUUGACAUCAUAGACAGAUGACUGAAGAAGUGAGUGUAAACAUGUAAAUAGCGCUAUCUUGUGAGAAAUGCAUGGCUCUGCUCCAGUCAUGUGUAGUGCUUUUUGUACAGUGUGGUUGGGAUCCUCCUGAGUUUUAGUUGUUGAGUUUAUCUCUGUGGAUUUCUACAUAAAAUGUGUCUGGAAAGUCCUGCUUCAUUGUUCUUUGUGAGAAAACACUGUCAGUGAUUAAAGAUUAUAUAGAUUAUUGUUUUUUUUUUAUCACUUAUUUGAAAUCAGAACAUUUAUCUAAAUGUGUGAUACUUUUCUGCAAAUGGCACAUGAUACAGUAAAGGAUUUAAAUGUGCAAAGUAAACACAUCAAAUGUAAUCACAUCUAAACACAUUUACAUGUUUGGUUUUACUUCCAAAGUCUAUUCCAGUUAACAUCAAAGGAAGAAGCAAGAUGUGAGGCAGAAAAAGAAAUGUUCUGUUGUAAAUAUCCCUUUACUUGUGGUAAAUACUUCCAUAGAUAUAUUUUGUCUUUAUUUUAAUGUGUUUUAAGUUCUUUAGUGUUUAAAGUUUUCAUUAAUAUGUAUAUAUGUGCAGUCGCAGGUAUGUGUUCCUUACUAUUUUAGUUAUUCACUUUUAUUCACUGCUCCUUUAAAAUAUGUAAAAUGAAAAUAAUUAUUUUGAUAAACAGAUUUCUUUGGUGUUGUGUGUCUCUGUUUACACAGUUCAUUAUUUAUUAUUCAGAAAUGAGUUACAUGUCUGUCUUUGUGCUUAUAGUGUUGUUUGUUGCAAUUUUUUUCAGAGUUGCACUAAAUGGGAUUCGAAACCUGGUCCAGACAAUCAUUUUCAAGCUUCUACUUAAAGUGUAGGGCUGUGAAUUCUGUGUAUUUGCCUCUACGAGUUUAUUCCAAAUAAAUUACUAAAUUACUGAAUUAUGAACUGAACUAUUUUUAUGGGAUUUUAUGUCUUAAAAAACUUAAGAUAGAUUAAAUGUUAGCUCUCAAAACAAUCAAUCAAUCUUUAUUUAUAAAGCACAUUUAAAAACAGCAGAGGCUGACUAAAGUGAUGUACAUCAAAUAAAAAACACAAUUUAAUCUUUGUAAAAAACAUUAAUAAAAUAAUUAAACAAUCAUAACAUUAAAAAACAACAUGCUAGGAUGACAAUAACUCAACAACAAAAAAUAAAAUAAAAAUAAAAAUCAGGGAUUGUUAAAAGCUAAGGAAAAGAAAUAUGUUUUCAAGGAUGACUUGAAUGUGGAAAUAGAAGGGGCAAGCCGAAUAUAUAAAGGUAGGCUAUUCCAUAAUUUGGGUCCCACAACUGCAAAGGCCCGAUCACCUCGUUUUUAAGGUGAGAUCGUGCUACAACAAGUAAGCAUUGGUCACACGAUCCUGUUUCUUGACGGGGAAUGACGCGAGAGUAGACUGGUCAAAUACUCAGGGGCCAGAUUAUUUAGUGCUUUGUAAACGUAAAGUAAAAUUUUAAAAUCAACUCUAAAUUUGACGGGAAGCCGGUGUAGGGCUGAUAACAUGGGAGUAACUGAUUCAUGAUUGGGCAUCUUAGUGAGAAGUCUAGCUGCUGAAUUUUGAACAAACUGUAAUAGAGAGAGAGAGAGAGGAGUUUGAGAGUUGCAGUAGUCUGGACAUGAUGUAACGACUGUAUGGAUCAAUGUUUGGAAAUCACUUUGGGAUAAAAUGAUUUUACUUUGGAAAGCUGUCGGAGAUGGAAAAAGCUGGAUUUUACGACAGCAUUAAUCUGUUUGUCGAAUUUAAGGUUGUGAUCAAAAAGAACACCCAAGUUCCUAGUGCAGAGGGUUUCACGAGGGUUUUACGUAGGUUCGAAUAGGAUAUUUCAGUUUAAAUAAAAUUAUUAGAGAGCUGAAAUUAUUAGAUGUUAAGUUCCUUCAGGCAAGCCAAAAGUGGGUGUAUGCUGUGUAAGAAAUAAAAAUGUGUUGUGUAAAAAUAAGAUGAUGAUGUUGAAGAUCUUAAUGAAGAACAAGAAGUUUAUUCCAGCAUAGCAGUGACAAAAUACAUGACGUACUUUGGGUUCGUCAGAGUCAGUAAGAACCCCGAGCAAAUCCUGCUCAAGCAUUAUAUACGGUUUUCCCUUUUAGUAAUUUAAAUGAAGUUCCACUUUGAAUGUGUAUUGAGUGUAAGAACUGAUUGUCUCCCAAAUGGCUGGGCUACACCUUGUUGUCUAGCUGAUGUCUUUAAAUGUUAAUCUUGAUCACGUACACCUUGUCUUGGUAUUGUUACAAUUCUUAUCAACCAAAUGGUCACUUUAAAUGGUAAUCGCGGCCAGGUAGACCUUGCAUUAUGACAUAAUGACUAACAUAUUAUAUAAUAACAUAUUAUUAUAUAUUUUAGUAACUCAAAAUCAAAUUCUGGUACAUCUUCCUCAAAGACUAAUUGUCUGCUGGAUUCAAUGACAUUGUCUGUAGAGUGAAUUUAACAUAUGGAAAGUAAUAUUUUCCUAUGAACCAAGCUGUCUCUGGAAUUAUACAAAGUAAAGUAACCUUAAUCGGACCAAGUGUUUAUCAUGUGGUUAUCAUUAACAAAGAUAGAAAAGUGAUCAUGACUAGUGGUGACAUGUUUUCUGUGUGAAACUAUUACUCUUGUAAAAUUAUUGUGGACAUGUUAGAUCGAUUUCACAAGCCUCAUAAUUAGUUUGGGGUGCCCCACAUAAUGGUUGUUUUUCCAAGGCAUCAAUCUUGCAAAUAAAACCAAUGUAGUUUUGUCACAGCGUUCUAUGUCCAGUCCUCACCAUUCUCCUGUUGGUAUCUGUGUGAUAAACCUAAAAGUCCUUUAAGUCCAUUCUUUAAUACAUUCUUCUGUAAUAUUCCCAAAUUGUCCAUGCUUAGAAUCCUUUCUAACAAUUUUUCAAAUCCUUUCCAAUCCUUGAGAUUUUUUACUUGAAGAUGUUCUCUGAAAAGGUUGUAGCGAUUUUGGCUCGCGAAGCAAGGUAAAUAUUUAUAAGCAACUAAAACGUGUUAUAGUGACUUCCAAAUAUUUUAACCUAAGUUGAAAUUAACGGUACUGGAAUUAAC